GAAGACUUUGACCCAGACCUCCCAAGAAAUUUCAUCACAAAUUAAAGAAAAAAAGAGAAAUCUCGGUGACUCUGAUCACCUUUCACCGGCCACGAUGGCCGUACUUUUCUCCGUUGCCUGGAAGAUGAUGGCCGGACUAUUCUCCAUUGUCUGGGAGGUGAUCAUGGAGAUAUUAAAGGCUUCUGUUCUCCCGGCGUUCAUUUGGAGAAGAGUUGAUGACGAGCUUGAAGUGCUCUUCAAGUCCUUGCAGUUGAUCCCACUUCGUGGUGAUGAUGCAAAGUAUAUUAACUUAACCGAAGAGGCUGAUACCGAUUCCUGGCUUUCUCUGCUCACUGAUGCAUCCAGAGACUUCGCUGCCGUUCAAGACAUUACUUACAUGGUCAACGAACACUUCGGCAGCCAGAGCGAGGGUGGUCACCCAAGAAGCAAGGUGCGCGACUUCUUUUCUCAGGAUCAUAACCCACUCUUGUUUAAACUUCAGUUGGUGAAGAAGCUCACAAACGUCAAUGAGAGAAUAAAUGGCCUCAGUAAGAAGAUGCAAGAGUUCAUCCCUAGAUUUAAUAAAAAGAAGACUUCAAGCUGCUCCUAUCGGCAUGAAUCACUAGUCAUUUUUGGACGAGACGAAGAGAAAAACACGGUGGUGGAGAUGCUGAUCCGUAAUUGGUCUGAUGAUAGAGUGGUUGUGGUUUCAAUCGUGGGUAAGCGUGGUAUGGGUAAGACUUCAGUUGCUCAGCUGGUUUUGAAAGAUGAAGUAGUCAAGAAUCAAUUUGAACUAUGCAUAUGGGUUUGGGUUUCUGAUGAUUUUGAUGUGCCGAAGCUUGCUGGAAAGAUCAUACAUACUGCUACUAGGGAAAUUUGUGAUCAUACAAACAUGGAGGUGCUGCAGAAGGAUCUGCGAGAUGUCUUGGGGCGGAAGAAAUAUUUGCUGGUAUUAGAUGAUGUAUGUAAUGAAGAUUCCCAAAAGUGGGAUGCUCUUAGAAACAUCUUGCCCGAUGGAGCAGGUGGAAGCAGAAUUCUUGUGACCACACGCAAUGUAAAAUGCUCGCGAGUGAUGGGUGCUCAGGAAUCUUUAAGUCUAAGCCAUUUAUCAAAUGAAAGCUCUUGGCAUUUGUUUGAACAGAAAGCAUUUGUUAUAGGUGCACAGAGGCCACCAGGCUUGGUGGAGUUUGCUAGAGAGCAUAUUGAGAAAUGUGACGGAGUACCAUUUUUAAUAGAAAUAUUGGCGGUUUGUGUUCGUUGCUCUCAAUGUCUGGCCUGGAGUAAACAAUGGAAAUCACGUAGUAAAGGGAUUGAGCUCAGCAGACAAAGGGAACAACUUUCCAUGGGCGUAGAGAGGUUACGCUCAUGUAUGCCUGGAGGAGGCUAUUACAACCUUCUCUCUACCAUCUCAUUUAAACAACUGGCAGAACAAACAAUCCAAUAUCUUCACCAGAUUAUGCAAGCUUUGAAGUGCAUCACCACAAAUCCCUUCUUUCUAUCAGCGAUUUUGAUUUGUGCUAUUGCCUGUUUCAUAAAUUUCCUUUUCAACGACUACAGUAACCAGCAAGAGCUUUGGUAUAUACCCCCAACAUGAAGACAAAAAAUCCGGAGUCCCAAAAAAGCAAAACAAGAGUCUAAGACUCUUGUUUUCUGUUUUUCUCCUUUGUCAAUAGAUUAGCUCUCAUUUGAGGCUUUGAGCUUCUUUCCUAAAAAAAAGGAAAAAAUCCGGAGAGUCUGAAUUCAGAAUGAAAAGGAUUGGUUUAACAUCUCAGUUGUUAAGGGAAGGUAAAUUAGAAUGAAAAGGAUUGGAUCAAGCUCUGUACUAUUGAUUCAUCUUUUUAUUAGUUAAGAACACCUUACCUUUUUUAAUUUUUACGUUUUCCAGUGAACACUCUUUGGGCUUUGAUGUAGGAUAGAUUCAUCCUUGCAAUUGCUGUAUAACGUAAAUUCUUGUGGUGUAUACCCCUGAUGUGGUUCUCAUUCAUAGAACUUCUCUUAAUUGAUAUGAUUGUUCAGACAUUCGGAACCUUUUUAUCAGUCAGUAUACUCUUGUGGGUGGAAUAGUAUUCAUAUAUAUAAGUCAGGAGACUGAGGUAAAAAUUGAAAUCCUUUCAAAUCCUCUGCUUUCGUUCUAGCUGACAUUUCCCAACAUUAGUGAUGCACUAGAUUUGUAAGAGCAAAUUCAAUUGUGGCAAUUGCAAACUGCAUUUCUCCACAUAUCCUUUGUCCAACAACAAAUGGUCAUAACAUUGGAAAUCUAAACAACAGUUCAUAAAUCUCUCUGGUAUGAACUCUCUGUGCAAGCCCCAAGAUAAGGAAUCCCUACCUAUCACUCUUGUUUUGAUGAUUACUCUUGCUUUUAUGGGCAUCACUGUGCUUGAUGGUUUCUCCAGGAAGUAGCAAUGGAGUAGGAGGGAUGUUGUCUUACCACUUUCGCUAUAUACACAAGGCCUCUCACUUCCCCUCACACAAAGUUUAUUGAAGAUUAUUCAGGACUAAGGUCUUUCCCAUAAGUCCUCCAACCUCUUCUUCCUGCUCUCAACAAAAUGAGAUACCUGGAUCUGGAGAGGCUGUGAUGCCUGGAGGAGAUUAUUACCCCACUCUCUCUACCAUCUCAUGUGUGGAAAGAUACACCUUUGCAAUCAACGUACAGAAACUCUUGUGGCGUGCACAGGCAAUAAUUCUCAGUGAAAGGACUUCCGUAUGUUUAUGAGCGAGUUCAAUAUGUGGAACUUCAUUUUCUUCCAUUCCUGAUUAUUUUCUUUUUUUUUUUUAUUUGAUCACAUUAUUGUUCUAUCCUUGUGAUGGAGAUGUCUGUUGUAUAGCUGACAUGGAAAAUGGUUUUGGACUUGCAACCCCUUCAUAUUGCAUCUUCUGAAGCUCAA
Molecule: RNA transcript, 2864 nt
Organism: Dioscorea cayenensis subsp. rotundata (Guinea yam)
Lineage: Eukaryota; Viridiplantae; Streptophyta; Magnoliopsida; Dioscoreales; Dioscoreaceae
Gene name: disease resistance protein RGA2-like
Exons: 3
Source: RefSeq, a predicted model, not a curated record